GAUGAACGCUGGCGGCGUGCCUAAUACAUGCAAGUCGAGCGAACGGACGAGAAGCUUGCUUCUCUGAUGUUAGCGGCGGACGGGUGAGUAACACGUGGAUAACCUACCUAUAAGACUGGGAUAACUUCGGGAAACCGUAGCUAAUACCGGAUAAUAUUUUGAACCGCAUGGUUCAAAAGUGAAAGACGGUCUUGCUGUCACUUAUAGAUGGAUCCGCGCUGCAUUAGCUAGUUGGUAAGGUAACGGCUUACCAAGGCAACGAUGCAUAGCCGACCUGAGAGGGGGAUCGGCCACACUGGAGCUGAGACACGGUCCAGACUCCUACGGGAGGCAGCAGUAGGGAAUCUUCCGCAAUGGGCGAAAGCCUGACGGAGCAACGCCGCGUGAGUGAUGAAGGUCUUCGGAUCGUAAAACUCUGUUAUUAGGGAAGAACAUAUGUGUAAGUAACUGUGCACAUCUUGACGGUUCCUAAUCAGAAAGCCACGGCUAACUACGUG
This 497-nucleotide ribosomal RNA is filed under the name uncultured bacterium. RNAcentral's name for it is "partial 16S ribosomal RNA". It matches the Rfam family "Bacterial small subunit ribosomal RNA", at positions 28 to 507 of the family's 1533-position model. The record is from RNAcentral.